Molecule: ribosomal RNA, 504 nt
Filed under: Neofusicoccum protearum
Lineage: Eukaryota; Fungi; Ascomycota; Dothideomycetes; Botryosphaeriales; Botryosphaeriaceae
Description: eukaryotic LSU rRNA
Rfam family: 5.8S ribosomal RNA (bases 155-308)
Source: RNAcentral
GACUCUCCCACCCCAUGUGUACCUACCUCUGUUGCUUUGGCGGGCCGCGGUCCUCCGCACCGGCCUCCCUCAGGGGGCUGGCCAGCGCCCGUCAGAGGACCACAAAACUCCAGUCAGUGAACGUCGCAGUCUGAAAAGCAAGUUAAUGAACUAAAACUUUCAACAACGGAUCUCUUGGUUCUGGCAUCGAUGAAGAACGCAGCGAAAUGCGAUAAGUAUUGUGAAUUGCAGAAUUUAGUGAAUCAUCGAAUCUUUGAACGCACAUUGCGCCCCUUGGUAUUCCGAGGGGCAUGCCUGUUCGAGCGUCAUUUCAACCCUCAAGCUCUGCUUGGUAUUGGGCUCCGUCCUCUACGGACGCGCCUCAAAGACCUCGGCGGUGGCGUCUUGCCUCGAGCGUAGUAGAAAACACCUCGCUUUGGAGCGCACGGCGUCGCCCGCCGGACGAACCUUUGGAUCUUUCUCAAGGUUGACCUCGGAUCAGGUAGGGAUACCCGCUGAACUUAA